Molecule: ribosomal RNA, 301 nt
Filed under: uncultured bacterium
Lineage: Bacteria
Description: partial 16S ribosomal RNA
Rfam family: Bacterial small subunit ribosomal RNA
Source: RNAcentral
CAGUCGCCGCGGUAAAACGUAGGUCCCGAGCGUUGUCCGGAUUUAUUGGGCGUAAAGGGAGCGCAGGCGGUUUAGUAAGUCUGUCUUAAAAGUUCGGGGCUUAACCCCGUGAUGGGAUGGAAACUGCUGAUCUAGAGUAUCGGAGAGGAAAGUGGAAUUCCUAGUGUAGCGGUGAAAUGCGUAGAUAUUAGGAAGAACACCAGUGGCGAAGGCGACUUUCUGGACGAAAACUGACGCUGAGGCGCGAAAGCCAGGGGAGCGAACGGGAUUAGAUACCCCCGUAGUCCCUGUCUCUUAUACA